This 88-nucleotide signal recognition particle RNA is filed under the name human gut metagenome. Its description in RNAcentral is "Bacterial small signal recognition particle RNA". It matches the Rfam family "Bacterial small signal recognition particle RNA". From Rfam's summary of the family: The signal recognition particle (SRP) is a universally conserved ribonucleoprotein involved in the co-translational targeting of proteins to membranes. Archaeal SRP consists of a 7S RNA and homologues of the eukaryotic SRP19 and SRP54 proteins. In most bacteria, the SRP consists of a 4.5S RNA and the Ffh protein (a homologue of the eukaryotic SRP54 protein). RNAcentral also lists the same sequence under 1 other name. The record is from RNAcentral.
CGGGUCCUGCGCAAUGAUUCCUGCGAAUCGUGUCAGGACGGGAACGUAGCAGCACUAAGCAGAUUCCUUCAUGUGCCGCAGGGAAGCC